AAAUAAAAGAAAACAAUGAAAUUUGGCCGUUUUAAGAUUUAAAUAUGCAUUUUAUAUUAAUAUGAUAGUAAGGAUGCAUUUAUCCAAUAAGUAAAUUAAAGUAAUUGAUUCAAUCAUGUCAUACCAUAAACGAUUCUAGACGUACAAUGAUAUUUUAAUCAUGGCAGCCCUAAGCUCUGACACUUUUCUUACUUCCGUUCAUUUAAGUUUUUUUUAUUAGUAUUUUCUAUUAAGAGCAUUCAUUUUCAAUGCCUAAAACUUGUUAUUAAAUCUCGAAAUUAUUAAUUAAGGUCAUAAAUACCAAAGUUACCUUAACUAUCAGUGUCACAGUGAAUUAAAACCUUAAUAAGCAAAUAAAUGACAACCAUCUAACCGCCAUAUUGUAAAUAAAUAAGCUGUAUGGAGAAAGUUGACAAAGCAUUAUCACGACAGAAAUUUUAAUUGUACUGGAAAAGAUCGUCCUCGCGUGUGCUUUUUACGAUUCUCUAAAUAUUCUACCCAUUGCCAAUCGCAAGAACUGUACAAGACAAACGCAAUAGAAUUUCGGAUUAAAACACGAUCAUGUUCUUCACUUUCGUCAAAUUUUAUAAAUCUUCAAUGAAUCUAGUGCCCUACGAUGACCUAUGAGUCCUAUGACCUAAAGUUUGAACUGUAUAGAAACAAGGAUGUUUAAUUAAUGUGCCGAGUUCCUGUUCGAAUCGAUAUACCGAUCGAAAUGGGCUCAAAUAUGAAAUCUGUCACUCCUAGCAAGUAAACUGACAACUCUAUUGGAAUAGUCCCUGUUGCCUGACUUACAUGAACUGUAAACAAUGACAAUGUAUUGAAAUUAUGCUGGAGAACCCCGCUUGCUGGAUUUGAUGAAUCUUUACACAACCUUAAAGACAAACAGAGACAACUCUGAUGGCUGCCUAUAUAUACCCAUACCUAGUGUUUGGUGAUGUUUAAGCCGAGCGGAGCAAAUUUCCGUUUGCUGUUUUCAUGGACUUUUCCGAGUCUCUCGAUAAUCUCCAACAAACAGAAUGGUUUCCUGAUACCUGGCCGUUAGGUCACCUAGCAGUCAGUUAAACUUAAGCCAAGCGAAGGAAAUCUCGAUGGUUAUUUUCAUGAUUCCUGUUUCUCCAUGUCUUACCACAAUUUUCAAUGUUCCGGAGAACUAACAGUGCCCCGCAGAGUCAUUACGUCUAGCCUCAAAAUACACACUAUGGAAUGCUUCUAUUUCUGAAAGAUUACGAAGGACCACACCUCUCCAGACUCCUGUUCAAUAAUUUUAUUUCACAACUUUUGCUGUAACAAUGGCUGCUGUCUACUGCCACUUCAAAGUUCCUGUCCCACGGCUCUAUUUCUAGAAACCCGCACCCACAACAGCAGUGGUCUACAUUGAAUACUACUUAUAGGGAAAGUGACACUCAAGAUCUUUUAUGUUAGGUACUUAGUAUGCUAGGCUUAACCAAUCAUGUACUAUUAUUCGACCGUAGUCAGAAUACGAUGGAAAAGUACCGUCAAC
This is a long non-coding RNA of Cydia pomonella (codling moth), 1504 nucleotides long. RefSeq lists it as uncharacterized. The record is from RefSeq and is a predicted model, not a curated record. The transcript is spliced from 6 exons. Lineage: Eukaryota; Metazoa; Arthropoda; Insecta; Lepidoptera; Tortricidae.